UACGGGGGGGGCAAGCGUUGUUCGGAAUUACUGGGCGUAAAGGGCGUGUAGGCGGCUUUUCAAGUCGGGCGUGAAAUCUCCGGGCUUAACCUGGAAGGGUCGUUCGAUACUGUUGAGCUAGAGUGUGGAAGAGGCUACUGGAAUUCCGUGUGUAGAGGUGAAAUUCGUAGAUAUUCGCAAGAACACCAGUGGCGAAGGCGGCUCACUGGCCCGGUACUGACGCUGAGGUGCGAAAGCGUGGGGAGCAAACAGG
RNAcentral lists this ribosomal RNA (253 nucleotides) under uncultured bacterium. RNAcentral's name for it is "partial 16S ribosomal RNA". It matches the Rfam family "Bacterial small subunit ribosomal RNA", at positions 524 to 776 of the family's 1533-position model. The record is from RNAcentral.